Molecule: long non-coding RNA, 549 nt
Filed under: Anas platyrhynchos platyrhynchos (common mallard)
Lineage: Eukaryota; Metazoa; Chordata; Aves; Anseriformes; Anatidae
Description: lncRNA (ENSAPLG00000018738.1)
Source: RNAcentral
UAAAUAUAGCUAGGGUACACUAUCUUUAUUUCUUCUAGAAUAUGGUAAAAAAUAAAAUAAAAUUAAAAUAAAAUAAAAUAAAUCACGUAACUUUUCAGAGGCUGACAGAGCAACCUUUGAGGCUCUUGAGUCUUUUGUUGGGAUCUAGAGUUGAUGGAUGGAUGUAGCUGUCUUUAUUUCAAUUUGUCUUUCCAGUGUGGGAGUGCACCUUUACUUUGCUUAUAGCUUAUGAAUUAGGUGGACAAAGUGCCAUUGAGAAGAAUGAAGUGACCGGAAUUUUUCUACAUCACCAGGUACAAGUGAUGUAGAAAAAUUACAGCAGUUUGUUUGACUUUGGCCAACUGGGAAUCACAAAGUGGCUUAUGGUAGCAGCAACUUUCCUGUGAAAAGCUUGGAGGUGUUACGUUACCAUCUCAAGACUCAUCUUGCUUCUUUCAGCAGAGCAAGGAAAGAAUGGAAAGCACACUGUGCAGCUGAAGUCACAAGACAUGUGGAAGGGAGGAGAGGAAAAUUGUAGGAAGUACACUUCAGAGACAUUGGUACAACACA